CCUUGCUAUAAUAAAACUAUAACCAUAAGUAUAGCACUUCCUGAGUUCUGUGAAUCAUUCUGAAGGUGGUUUUGAAACCCUCUCAGUUUGUUGCCAGAUAGUCUAAAGUGAGGGUGGUCCUGGAAACCCACAAACUUGUGGCUGGUGUGUGAAGUGAAGGCAGGGUUGCGGGGACUGUUUCCUCCAGCUCCACGGUUAACUAAACUCAGCUCAGCACCGGGAGCUGCCAGAACAGAAGGACCACGUGGGAACGGAAGGUUCCUGUAGGUACCCAAAUUUCUGGAAAUGGAAAGGGCCCAACUCUCCCAUAUUGAGGGGAUGGGCCCCACUGGAUGUGAGCCAAUCAGUGUCUUCUGUCCUGUGAGCUCAUGAUUUACGCUGAUCUAUAACCUGAGAUGGCCUUGUCAGGGGGACCUCCAGGGACUGCUGGAACUUGGACUCUUGUCAGCCUGGUAAAUGGUAUGUCUUAGAUCUGCUGCAGCCGUCGUGGAAAGCUUGAAGCUGCCAGGAGAGAGGGGUUCCAACAUGUGGUGGCUAAAGAACAAAUCCAACUCAGAGGAAGCAGAGCCAAGAAAUGCCGUUUGAAUCUUGGAUCAAAUUGUGCCUGGAUCUCCAGCCAAAGGCUCCAGAGACAGACUUGGGUGAGAAACCUGGCCUCAGGGAAAAGCAAAUGAAGCCUGUUCAUUCCCCAGAAGAGAAGCAAGAGAGAAUUGCUCACCAUGACGGGCGCAUCUCAGCUUUGCUAGUUUAACGUCCUCAUGAACAGCACCAGCAAGGGGCCUUCUAUGAGGCUGAACUUCCUACUCACCUGUGCCUAUUAGAGACACGACCCAAGGCUUUGGGAACUUUCUCACACCUUCUGCUUCCAUGGUGGCAAGGAGGGGGCCAGUCCGUUCACCCUGACCUCCAAGUGACUCCAGUGGUAAAGGCUACGGGGCCUUCAAUCACUCGAAAACCAGGAGGCAUAUUUUUAGAGACAUGCUGUCAUCUGGGCAGCCUUGAGUGGAUAUCUUCUCUGCCUUUCCUCAGAUCAGUGGGUUUGCAAGAAACCCUCCUAGGCCAGUAGCCUUAGAGGAAGUUCCUGCUAAUUCAAGAGAAAGGGCAAGGGGGACAGCCAGCUGGAACCUAGAGCUGCUCAUGCUCCUGGAACCCUGGGCGGGUGCAGGCAGGAAUUUACAGAUCUGCCUUUCCCUCAUCAUUCCGCAGGAAGCUUCUUUAAAUGAGCCUCAGCCCAGGAGCUAUCGUGGGGCCUGGUGAUUAUAGCAGAGACCGAGAUAACAGAACCAUGGAGAUGCCACCUCUGUCUGGAUACUGACCCCACGGUCCAGGAAUCAUCAACUCAGCCCGAGGGCAAAUUUUGUUCUGUUUUCUCUGUGCGAAAUGCCAGAAUGCUCCUGCCUCGAAGAGGUUGACUCUGUUGUCAGCUGUGGGAAAAAACAGCCAGAGUUGCUAUUUACACCCUGAACUGCAAGCUGGGUAAAAAUAGCACUAGCAGCUUGGUCCGGCUUCAAACCCCACUGCAGAGAGAUUAUUUUUGGAAGAGAAGAUUUUCCUCCCCACCCACAGAUCUGAAAAUGGUCACCUCCCCGCAAGAAAGGAGGAGAGUUGAUCCCACGCAAAGGUGAAAACUACCCCCUUCCCACUUUCUCUGCCCAGGACAGCACAUCGAGACCGAUGAGCAAUGCCCUUCCCUGACAGCAGGUCAGGCCCA
Molecule: long non-coding RNA, 1711 nt
Organism: Cebus imitator (Panamanian white-faced capuchin)
Lineage: Eukaryota; Metazoa; Chordata; Mammalia; Primates; Cebidae
Source: Ensembl